This 20-nucleotide unclassified non-coding RNA is filed under the name Chlamydomonas reinhardtii. RNAcentral's name for it is "small RNA Cre_3705". The record is from RNAcentral. Lineage: Eukaryota; Viridiplantae; Chlorophyta; Chlorophyceae; Chlamydomonadales; Chlamydomonadaceae.
UUAAAUGAGCGCUGUCCUUG